GGGCCCGUAGUCUAGUGGCAUGACGCCGCCCUGACUAGGCGGAGGUCCGGGGUUCAAAUCCCCGCGGGCCCA
Molecule: transfer RNA, 72 nt
Filed under: Nanoarchaeota archaeon NZ13-N
Lineage: Archaea; Nanobdellati; Nanobdellota
Also listed under: 1 other name
Description: tRNA-Val
Rfam family: tRNA
About the family: Transfer RNA (tRNA) molecules are approximately 80 nucleotides in length.
Source: RNAcentral